UACGUAGGGGGCUAGCGUUGUCCGGAAUCAUUGGGCGUAAAGAGCGUGUAGGCGGCCCGGUAAGUCCGCUGUGAAAGUCCAGGGCUCAACCCUGGAAUGCCGGUGGAUACUGUCGGGCUCGAGUCCGGAAGAGGCGAGUGGAAUUCCUGGUGUAGCGGUGAAAUGCGCAGAUAUCAGGAGGAACACCAAUGGCGAAGGCAGCUCGCUGGGACGGUACUGACGCUGAGACGCGAAAGCGUGGGGAGCAAACAGG
This 253-nucleotide ribosomal RNA is filed under the name uncultured bacterium. RNAcentral describes it as "partial 16S ribosomal RNA". It matches the Rfam family "Bacterial small subunit ribosomal RNA", at positions 524 to 776 of the family's 1533-position model. The record is from RNAcentral.